This 492-nucleotide ribosomal RNA is filed under the name uncultured bacterium. RNAcentral's name for it is "partial 16S ribosomal RNA". It matches the Rfam family "Bacterial small subunit ribosomal RNA", at positions 29 to 507 of the family's 1533-position model. The record is from RNAcentral.
AGUGAACGCUGGCGGUAGGCCUAACACAUGCAAGUCGAACGGCAGCACAGUAAGAGCUUGCUCUUACGGGUGGCGAGUGGCGGACGGGUGAGGAAUACACCGGAAUCUACUUUUUCGUGGGGGAUAACGUAGGGAAACUUACGCUAAUACCUCAUACGACCUACGGGUGAAAGCAGGGGAUCUUCGGACCUUGCGCGAUUGAAUGAGCCGAUGUCGGAUUAGCUAGUUGGCGGGGUAAAGGCCCACCAAGGCGACGAUCCGUAGCUGGUCUGAGAGGAUGAUCAGCCACACUGGAACUGAGACACGGUCCAGACUCCUACGGGAGGCAGCAGUGGGGAAUAUUGGACAAUGGGCGCAGGCCUGAUCCAGCCAUACCGCGUGGGUGAAGAAGGCCUUCGGGUUGUAAAGCCCUUUUGUUGGGAAAGAAAAGCAGCAGGUUAAUACCCCGCUGUUCUGACGGUACCCAAAGAAUAAGCACCGGCUAACUUCGUG